Molecule: transfer RNA, 72 nt
Organism: Camelus ferus (Wild Bactrian camel)
Lineage: Eukaryota; Metazoa; Chordata; Mammalia; Artiodactyla; Camelidae
Rfam family: tRNA
About the family: Transfer RNA (tRNA) molecules are approximately 80 nucleotides in length. Their secondary structure includes four short double-helical elements and three loops (D, anti-codon, and T loops). Further hydrogen bonds mediate the characteristic L-shaped molecular structure. tRNAs have two regions of fundamental functional importance: the anti-codon, which is responsible for specific mRNA codon recognition, and the 3' end, to which the tRNAs corresponding amino acid is attached (by aminoacyl-tRNA synthetases). tRNAs cope with the degeneracy of the genetic code in two manners: having more than one tRNA (with a specific anti-codon) for a particular amino acid; and 'wobble' base-pairing, i.e. permitting non-standard base-pairing at the 3rd anti-codon position.
Source: Rfam
GAGGGUAUAGCUCAGUGGUAGAGCUCAUACUUAGAAUGCAUAACAUCCUGGGUUCAAUGCCCAGUUCCUCCA